GAUAGAGGAGGGAGCGUGAAGCAAAUGGGGAGGGUGGAUAGAGGUGGGCGGGGUUAGGGGACGGCGCAGGGUGAAGAGUAGAAAUAAGGGAAGACACAGGGAGCCAGGGACUCAGUGUGAAUAGGUGAAUGUUAACAUUGGGGGGUCGCUAAACCUUUGGGGGCAGAUCUCUUGCACGCGGCAAAUCGGUUUUACUGGAAGAUGUCCUGACACUGACUGUAUUGCCUUAUACAGGUGACGGGACACCUGGUUGGAGAGUUCACAGGACUUGCCUUUAUAGUGCUCACCCAUGGGUCAAAUAGGUCUAUAGUUCUGCAUACCUCAGACACUACAGGAGCAAAUUAAUUGCUAAGGCAGCUGGGAGUUGUAGUGAAGUGAAAGACAGUGAACACCAGCCUAUGGGGACAGCGCUGCCUUAUGCAAAGCCACACCCCCUGUUUUCUAUUGGUCGGCGCAGCCUGGAUUCCCUCUUUUCUGAAGCCACGCCCCCAGGAAUGACAGUUAGUUCAGUUGGAAGGAGGAAUCGGGAGGAUGGAUUGCUGGUUGUGAGGUCUGGCUAGUAUCCAGCACAAGGCAGUGUGUACCCCAGUAAUGGCAGAAAAGUGAGGUACCUAAAUGUCAGCGGCUGCCGCACAAGGCAUGGCUAGGAAAGGCUGGUUCAUUCCAGAAUAAAAGAAUAAAGCCCCAGACAAAAGGACAGGGCAGAUAAAUGAAAACUUUGUACAGAAAGAAGAAAGAAGACAAUGACAAUAAUCAAAAGAAAACAGUGAGGAUAUCCCCUUGACAGUAACUCCUAGUCAACAAAAUGUCUAUUACAAUUGUUAUGCACAUAGUUCCUCUUCUAUGAAAUUAAAGACAUUCACUGAUGA
Xenopus laevis (African clawed frog) is the source of this 869-nucleotide long non-coding RNA. RefSeq lists it as uncharacterized. The transcript is spliced from 3 exons. The record is from RefSeq and is a predicted model, not a curated record. Lineage: Eukaryota; Metazoa; Chordata; Amphibia; Anura; Pipidae.